Molecule: long non-coding RNA, 1697 nt
Filed under: Gossypium barbadense (sea-island cotton)
Lineage: Eukaryota; Viridiplantae; Streptophyta; Magnoliopsida; Malvales; Malvaceae
Description: long non-coding RNA (GBAR_LNC018818)
Source: RNAcentral
UUAAAUAGAGAAAAUGAUGAAAUUGGAAAGAUGAAAUAAUUAAAGAUGAUAAAUUAAUUAAAUAACAAAAUAUUAUCAUAUUCAUCAUCUUUCCCAAAUUAAAUACAUGGAAACCCUCGUUAUGGGUGUUGAGCUCAAGCAAACUAUUUUGGCUUAAUUAGAUCUGGAUAGAUCAAAUACGAAGUUAGAACGAGGAAAAAAAAGUGUCGAAUUAGUAGAUUACAAAUCCACGAACACUUGUCGAGGUAAGUUCGUGUAAUUAAAUUAUAUAAUUAUAUGUUUGAAUUGAAUGUUAUGUAUGUGUAUUGUGUAAUUGACAUAUAUGAAAAUCAGUCACAUAUCCAACAAUGUUCGACAAAUAUUAAGUCUCGUUUGAAUAAAUGAAAUUCGAUGGAUACAGGGUUUCUGAAUUGGUUGUGGUCUUGCAUGUGUUACGAACAUACCAUAGCUCGAAAGAGCGUCCCGUUAUUAGCUCUCAUGAGCAUCUUGAUACUUGGCUCUCACGAGCUUCCCGUUAUAUGGUUCUUGCGAGCUUCCCGUUAAUAGCUCUUCGGAGCUUCCCUAUUGGUUAUGAUCCUGCAUGUGUUGUGAACACACUACAGCUCUUAUGAGCGUCUCGAUAUAUGGCUCCCUGGAGCUUCCCGAUUAAAGGCUCUUUCAUGAGCUUCCCGAUUAAUGGCUCUCUAGAGCUUCCCGAUUAAAGGCUCUUUCAUGAGCUUCCCGUUAAUGGCUCUCCGGAGCUUCCCGAUACAUGGCUCACAUGAGCUUCCUGUUAUAUGACUCGGAAGAGUUUCCCGUUUAUGUGCUUGUAUGAGCAUUCUCGAAUGUAAAUUGACGGAUUAUAGAUUUGUACACUUUGUGUGUACUACCCGUGUAUCCAUCGAUAUUUUAAAUGAUUUAAAGGGCAAAAUCCUAACAUGAGAAAAUAUAUGAAUUUGAAAUGAAUCAUUAUCCGUAUUUACUGAAAUAUAUGGAAAUGAUUUGUACAUGUUAUAUGGACACAUGAUGUGGAAAAUAAAUGUAUAUGGCAAUUUGUUGAUUAUUGACCUCAUAUAUGUUUCUUGAUAUUUGUAUGAAAUACAUGACUAAGAUGCUUGGUAAGGAUUUGUGUUUAAGCAUUUGGCCAAAUUGGUUUGAGCAUGUUUAGUUUGCUUACCUUAAAUGUGAAUUAAAUGGUAAGUUAAUUUCCCGUUAUACAAACUUACUAUGCAUUAAAUGCUUACUCUGUUUUAUUUUCUCUGUUUUUUAGUAAUUCGGAAGCUCGUUGAGUUGGAAGCUUGGCGGAGAUAUCUCAAACUAUCCAUCAACUCAUUUCAGUAUAUAUAUAGUAUACUAAAUUUUGGUUAUAAUGACAUGUAUAGGCUAAAGCUAAAUUUGGCCAAUGAUGGCAUAAAAAUAAGUGGUAUAUUUUUAUUUGUAUAAAUAUGGCCUUAAUAUGUUUGAUGUAUGAUUUGUUAUGGUUGAAUGAUGAAUACUAAUAGGCAUAUUGAGGCAUUGUUUGAUUUGGUAGAUUUAGUACAAAUAAGCCUAUAUGUGUGAUGGGGAAAAUAAGUAAGUAUAAUUACUUAAUUAUAUGUGGAAUUACAAACUAGAUUUUCGUCUGAUUUGAAUACUUUGGUAUGGCUUGAUGAUAUUAAUUGCUCCAAUAAUUGUUAUUAAUUGCCGCUGUAUCAUUUAAUAUUGAUGGUUAACUGUCA